AGAGCGAACGCUGGCGGCAUGCUUAACACAUGCAAGUCGCACGGGCAGGGGUAACCCUGUCAGUGGCGGACGGGUGAGUAACGCGUAGGUAUCUAUCCUUGGGUGGGGGACAACUGUGGGAAACUACAGCUAAUACCGCAUGAUAACUGAGGUUUAAAGGCGCAAGUCGCCUGAGGAGGAGCCUGCGUACGAUUAGCUAGUUGGUGGGGUAAAGGCCUACCAAGGCUGUGAUCGUUAGCUGGUCUGAGAGGAUGAUCAGCCACAUUGGGACUGAGACACGGCCCAAACUCCUACGGGAGGCAGCAGUGGGGAAUAUUGGACAAUGGGCGAAAGCCUGAUCCAGCAAUGCCGCGUGUGUGAAGAAGGUCUUCGGAUUGUAAAGCACUUUCGACGGGACGAUGAUGACGGUACCCGUAGAAGACGCCCGGCUAACGUUCGUGCCAGCAGCCGC
RNAcentral lists this ribosomal RNA (451 nucleotides) under uncultured bacterium. RNAcentral describes it as "SSU rRNA". It matches the Rfam family "Bacterial small subunit ribosomal RNA", at positions 26 to 518 of the family's 1533-position model. The record is from RNAcentral.